RNAcentral lists this ribosomal RNA (261 nucleotides) under uncultured archaeon. Its description in RNAcentral is "partial 16S ribosomal RNA". It matches the Rfam family "Archaeal small subunit ribosomal RNA", at positions 748 to 1008 of the family's 1478-position model. The record is from RNAcentral.
CAGCCGUAAACGAUGCGCGUUAGGUGUCCUGGUGACCACGAGUCACCUGGGUGCCGAAGGGAAACCGUGAAACGUGCCGCCUGGGAAGUACGGUCGCAAGGCUAGAAACUUAAAGGAAUUGGCGGGGGAGCACCACAACGGGUGGAGCCUGCGGUUUAAUUGGACUCAACGCCGGAAAUCUCACCGGAUAGGACAGACAUAUGAUAGUCGGGCUGAAGACUCUACUUGAUGAUCUGAGAGGUGUGCAUGGCGUCAGUGACU